CUUGCUUCUUGGCCUCAUGGCUAAGAUCAAGCGUAGUAUCUGUUCUUAUCAGUUUAAUUUCUUUUGAUGGACACUUGCAACAUCUGCUCUGAAGAUGGAUUCUCCUGCUGCCAUUUUUGAAAAAACUGAUGCUGCUUUGAAGAUGUAUUCCACUGCUGCUACUUUGGAAGAAAAAUCC
Chelydra serpentina (North American snapping turtle) is the source of this 178-nucleotide small nuclear RNA. Its record names the gene U2. It matches the Rfam family "U2 spliceosomal RNA". Rfam says of the family: U2 is a small nuclear RNA (snRNA) component of the spliceosome (involved in pre-mRNA splicing). NCBI's taxonomy places the organism in Eukaryota, Metazoa, Chordata, Testudines, Chelydridae. The record is from Ensembl.